AGCGAACGCUGGCGGCAGGCUUAACACAUGCAAGUCGAACGCCCCGCAAGGGGAGUGGCAGACGGGUGAGUAACACGUGGGAACGUACCCUUUGGUUCGGAAUAACUUGGGGAAAGUCAAGCUAAUACCGGAUAAGCCCUUAUGGGGAAAGGUUUACUGCCGAAGGAUCGGCCCGCGUCUGAUUAGCUAGUUGGUGAGGUAAUGGCUCACGAAGGCGACGAUCAGUAGCUGGUCUGAGAGGAUGAUCAGCCACACUGGGACUGAGACACGGCCCAGACUCCUACGGGAGGCAGCAGUGGGGAAUAUUGGACAAUGGGGGCAACCCUGAUCCAGCCAUGCCGCGUGAGUGAUGAAGGCCUUAGGGUUGUAAAGCUCUUUUACCCGGGACGAUAAUGACUAUACCGGGAGAAUAAGCCCCGGCUAACUUCGUGCCAGCAGCCGCCGUAA
This 447-nucleotide ribosomal RNA is filed under the name uncultured bacterium. RNAcentral describes it as "partial 16S ribosomal RNA". It matches the Rfam family "Bacterial small subunit ribosomal RNA", at positions 29 to 523 of the family's 1533-position model. The record is from RNAcentral.